CCAGGAUGAAUGCGCCAUUCCGGAAGUGAAAACGGGGGCGGAGGAGGAGGGGAGGGGGUGUUCGGUGCUGUAAAGUAGAACUUAGAAAUCGGAAUCCGUUUAUAGAUUCAUAUCCUUCUGAAUAACUCAGUGAGCGGAUCCGAGUCUCACUUGAGUCCCAAGUAUUUAUCACUGCAGCCCGCAGAGCUCCAAGUGGGAGGGACUUAUUCCGCGGGGUCUGCAAAAUAGACUUGCUACAAAAAGGCAUCACUGGAAGCUUUUUCACACUGACUAAAUGUGCUUUUUAUCUGUGUGGGUAGCAGAGGACAUAUGACUUAUCUUGAUUGAUGAGAGCAAAAUGCCACAAAAGAACGUGAAACCAAAGAGGAAGACAAAGCAAAAGGAGGUCAUGGGUGUUUGGAAUGCUUGGGGUAAAAGAGGAGAGCAGAACCAUUUUGAAAAUCACUCAGCAUUCAGAAAAUUCAUUUUCAAAAGUAUGUUACCACUGUUAUCUCAGAUGGGUGGAAAGUCCAUAACUCCCUCAGAGAUGCUGGACAUAAACAUUUAACUGUGAGCCAUAAAGAGGUUUUUGUUGAAUCUUAGACAGAUUCAGGGGAGUCGGUAAAGUAAACAGUGUGCAGGUUUAGGGGGAACUGCACAGCAAGCAUAAUUAAUUAGCACUUUAAAAAAAUCACAAGGACUUACAGGCAUGAUAACAAAAUUAAAAUUUCUCCCGGGCAUUAUUCUGCAUGACAUUGAAGAAGGUAUUUCCUGUAAGAAAAAUACAAAUGUUCAGUUUAUUCUGUAAACAUUAUCAUUUGUGUUAAAAACAAAUUUGUCCAUAAUUGUUUGACAAAUGACUGUUACUAUUGAAGAUGUAUGUUAUGUGAAUUUCUCACUGCAGUUUUUAAUGUCUCUUCUCUUAUUGGAAAAUUACAAAUGUAUACUUUAGAACAGGGAACAUACUCUAUAUUUAUUUCAUACUUAUAAGCUACACAUUCACACGUGUAGCUUAUAUAGAAAACACCUAUAAAGUAUGAAUUUUGAACAGUACACGCUAUCUGUACCUUUUAUUUCUUAGCUAAUAUGUUCAUUGUUAGGACAAAAACAAAUGUAAUGGGGCUAUAAAAUAGGAAAUAAGAUAAAUAAUAUAAGAAAGGUCUUAUACAUAGCUUGUAAGGGCAUGUAAGUCCAUAGCUAAUCAUUUACAAAUGUAGCUAUCAAUCAUUAUUUUCUCAUACUUUAAAUAAAAUAGUCUUUAUUCUAUGUUAUGCUGCAUCAUAAUUUUUUUAACUGCACUUUACAUCAUGCACAAAAAGAUACGGUUAGGCCCUUUGGAAAACACUUUAGACAGAGGAGUACUGUAUUUGACACUGUACAUUUACAUUUAUAGCACUUAUCCAGAGUAACUUUCAACUGAGCAGGAGAGGGUUAAGGGCCUUGCUCAAGGGCCCAGCAGUGGCAGCUUAAUGGUGCUGGGAUUUAAAAUUGAGCUUCCGAUCCAACGUCCAAUUUCUUGACCACUGAGCAACCACCUCCUGCCUGGGUAUGGCUGAGUAGAACUGGAUCUGCAGAAGGAAGCCCUCUAUACACA
Molecule: long non-coding RNA, 1573 nt
Organism: Silurus meridionalis
Lineage: Eukaryota; Metazoa; Chordata; Actinopteri; Siluriformes; Siluridae
Exons: 3
Source: RefSeq, a predicted model, not a curated record